UCCGAAGCUACCGACUAAAACUGUCUC
RNAcentral lists this non-coding RNA (27 nucleotides) under Homo sapiens (human). The record is from RNAcentral. Lineage: Eukaryota; Metazoa; Chordata; Mammalia; Primates; Hominidae.